GAAAACUUUUAGGUUUGUCUUUUUUCUUUAUGUCAAGAAAGAAGAUAUUCCUGAUGUGCUAAACUAGCCUUCGGAGGUAAAUUAGCAGCAGGAUUUAUUAGCUAUUUUGACAGUCAUCUCCAGACAAUU
Molecule: small nucleolar RNA, 129 nt
Filed under: Sorex araneus (European shrew)
Lineage: Eukaryota; Metazoa; Chordata; Mammalia; Eulipotyphla; Soricidae
Source: RNAcentral